RNAcentral lists this long non-coding RNA (310 nucleotides) under Prunus dulcis (almond). RNAcentral's name for it is "sRNA ncRNA". Lineage: Eukaryota; Viridiplantae; Streptophyta; Magnoliopsida; Rosales; Rosaceae. The record is from RNAcentral.
GGAAAGUUGUAUAAAAUAGAAGAUGCACAUGGAGAGCCCUUGGCUAUUUUUGUAGGAGUUAUGAUGUUGCAACAUCAUUCAAUUUGCUAUGUCUAGUGACUGAAUAUAAUAAAUUAUCCUUGCUUUUACUUGUAACUUGCUCAGCUAUUGGCUCUGCAUCGGACUUCUUCUGCACCAGCAAUUUAUUUUAGAAAAAAAAAAAAAAUGAUCUAUCAAUCAAAAUCAAGGGUUCAUAGAAUAAUAAUCUCUUCUUUAUUCUUAUACCAUUGUCUGAGGCAGUGUUUUCCAACUAGACUUACCACCAUGCCUG